Molecule: ribosomal RNA, 60 nt
Filed under: uncultured soil eukaryote
Lineage: Eukaryota
Description: partial 5.8S ribosomal RNA
Source: RNAcentral
UGCGCCCUCUGGUAUUCCGGAGGGCAUGCCUGUUUGAGCGUCGUUUCUCCCUCAAACCGC